RNAcentral lists this ribosomal RNA (237 nucleotides) under uncultured bacterium. RNAcentral's name for it is "partial 16S ribosomal RNA". It matches the Rfam family "Bacterial small subunit ribosomal RNA", at positions 28 to 262 of the family's 1533-position model. The record is from RNAcentral.
GAUGAACGCUAGCGGCAGGCUUAAUACAUGCAAGUCGAGGGGCAGCACGGGUAGCAAUACCUGGUGGCGACCGGCAAACGGGUGCGGAACACGUACGCAACCUUCCUUUAAGCGGGGAAUAGCCCAGAGAAAUUUGGAUUAAUACCCCAUAAUAUAAUAGAGAAGCAUUUCUUUAUUAUUAAAGAUUUAUCACUUAGAGAUGGGCGUGCGGCUGAUUAGGUAGUUGGCGGAGAACAG